GUAGCCGUAAACACUAUUAAGUUUUAAACAAGCUUAAUCGCCAGAGAACUACUAGCCAUAGCUUAAAACUCAAAGGACUUGGCGGUGCUUUAUAUCCAUCUAGAGGAGCCUGUUCUAUAAUCGAUAAACCCCGCUGUACCUCACCAUUUCUUGCUAAUUCAGUCUAUAUACCGCCAUCCUCAGCAAACCCUGAAAAGGAAGACAAGUAAGCCCGAUUAUAUGACAUAAAAAAGUUAGGUCAAGGUGUAGCUAAUGAAAUGGGAUGAAAUGGGCUACAUUCUCUAAUCUAGAUUACACGAAACCCUACUUGAAAAACUAGGGUAAAGGAGGAUUUAGUAGUAAAUUAAAAUUAGAGUGUUUAAUUGAAUUGAGCAAUGAAGCACGCAC
This 387-nucleotide ribosomal RNA is filed under the name Chaetodipus eremicus. Its description in RNAcentral is "partial 12S ribosomal RNA". It matches the Rfam family "Bacterial small subunit ribosomal RNA", at positions 796 to 1386 of the family's 1533-position model. Lineage: Eukaryota; Metazoa; Chordata; Mammalia; Rodentia; Heteromyidae. The record is from RNAcentral.